UUAAGGCUUUUGUUCCCUAGGGGGAAGAGGGGAAGAUAAUUCAUAUGGAGCAUCACACCAGCUAUCUCCUCCUCCGUGUCCUGCACUGCAAAGGAGGCCUUUUCAUCCUCUCUACUGCCUCCAAUUUUUCUCACGAGGAAUGUGAGAGGAAAACCUAGAGCUUGUUCCUGAAGCAUGGUGCUAAGUCCAUUUGCAGCAGAUGGAGCUCAUGAGAAAAGAGUUGCUCUUGUGAAGACCAAAGCUUGGUGAGGUGUCAGAUCCCCGGCGAUGGAAAGCAGUCAACUCAUGGGUAGUAAAAAGAAUGUAUUGACAACACUAUAGGUUUGAAAAGGAAAGUUUUAUUAGAUAGAAAGAACACUGCAGAAGACCGCAGCAGAGGACUUCAGCAAGAGAGAACUAAGUGUAUCAUGGUGGAUUUUUCCUAAGGGAAAUGGUCAGUUACAAAGCACAACAUAAGACUGGAACAUUGGAGUUAAGUAGCAGAGAUCAAAAUUUGUCAGUUUCAAAUACUCAUGUAUCUGAUUGUCAAUGCUGGAGAGCUGGGGCCAGGGCAGUAGUUGAUGGAUAUCACCUGACUGUCUCCUGCAGCAAAAGCAUUCCCAGAAGCACGGAGAAGUGAGGAGAAAAGGCAAUGCACCUGGAGCUGGAGACCAAGACCCCGUUCUUACUGAUGGCCCUUGGAGCAGAUAUUUGAAUUGGAGAGAUAAAACCGUGGUUUUUGGGGUGUUAAUUUUGGUGGCUGAUGCAUUCUGUGAUUGAUUUGGCUAUUACAACUGGUAUUGAUUUUAAACACAUUAAUUGCAAAAUCUCAAUUGUGAUUUGAUUUCUGUAUUUACAAUACUAAAAACGAGGCUUUCGCCAGGAGAAGACAAUUGGCAGUACUCAGUUGGAAGUGCUUAAUUGUUAAUAUAUAUCAGCCGUGGUUCUUCAGCGUCGUCAGUGUUGCUCAGUCUUGCUCUUUGUGGCGACUACUGAAUGCUUGAAAAAUUCUCUCCUAUACUCCCACUCUGCGCUGUAGAAGAGAAAGAGAGGAGAGUGGAAGAAAAAAGAGAGGGAGAGGAGAAAGAAAGAAAGGAGAGAGAAACAUGGGCAUGGAUGAUACAUAAGAUAAUUCCAGAAGAUUUCAGCAUAGCAGAUAAAAUACAGCAAAUCCUAACCAGCACAGGUUUGAGUGACAAACGGGCCGGUUCCAUGGGCACAGAUGACUUCAUCAGGUAAUUACAUUUUUGUUUUCAUAAGUGUUUACAUGUCUUUACUGUGACACCUUCAGAUUAGAGAUUUUAAAGGCUUUUAAGCGGUAUAAGGUGCUUCCUGGGAGAGUUAUUGCAUAGCACUUCCAUGGCAUGGAAUAGUAUUUGGUGUAGAAGAUGAAGGCUAGUUAGCUGCAGCAGAAUGAACAUUUCUUUAAGAACAGUAGUAAAGAACAGUCCAAGCCAGAAUAUUGCCUCUGUGUUAAUGUGGUGUGCAUGUUCCUCCCUUCCUGCUCCCUCCCCAACUCUCCUUCACAGUCUUAGUAUUAAUAGCGUAUCCCUCCAAAAUAGUCCGUAAGGUAGAAAAAUCAUAAUACAUGUAGCUGGAUCUGAUUUUUAAAAUUUGCUUACUGGGAAUAGCUGUUGUUAAAUCGAUCUUAAGCAUAGAAUAAUGUCAGUUAGAACCCUACCUGGCUAUCCAUUUCGUAAUGAUAUAGUUAGUUUUGUAACCCGAGGCAAGUUCUACACUUCUCAAGUAAAAAGAUGUCAUAAUUAUCUAGGUAAUUUAGACCAAAAUUUGUUUUGCUUGAAUGGAGCAAGUAAGUCUUAUGAAAAUAGAAUAAGACUUCAAUUAAUUACCCAGGUAAUUAUAACCUCUAGUUACUGUUUUUAAUCAUUAACAUGUUAACUUUCAGAAGUUCUUGCCUAUUUAGCCGAUUCACUCUUAAAGCUUCCAUGUUCUAGAGGCUGAAUAAAAUAUGAGGGUAGAUUGUUAUAAAAGUCAUUGGUUUGACCUUUUGUAUGCUGGAAACACAGUUGUAUAUGGAGUUAUAUUUUAUUGACUGGCUAGCAGUACUACUGAGUCUUUUUAGAUGUUAAUCCUAGACUUUGAAUACUAUUCAUAAGUACCUACUUUGCUUUCUCAGACAAUUUAUCUGGAUCUGUUUCUAUGGGCCAGUCUAAAAAUAACCUCAGGUCUAAAUAGAAAUAUUUUAUCUUUUCGUUCAUUUUCACUAAAUUUCCUCAAAGUUAUUGAGCAUGUGCAGUUUAUUAACUAGAAUCUAAUAAGUACAUAGGUAUCUACAGAGAGGAAUGAUGUGUAUUUAAUUUGAAUAUAAAUAACAGCUCAAGAGAGGAAGAAUGGGCAUGUAAGAUUGGUCAUUCAUCUGACUUCUGCCAAUUCCAAACAACUUCCUGUUCAGUUGCCAUGCUGCAAUGAAACAAGUGCCAAUGAGUUUUAGGUUUUCAAUUGAGUCUGUAUAAUCCAUGUCAAAUUAAUUUUGAACAUGGUAUGAGGUAAGAAUUUCAAUCAGGUUAUUUGCAUUUCCAUAUACAUUUUAGAAAUAGUUUAUUAAUAUCUAAAUUAAACUCAAGGUGAAGCAAGAUGGCAGAAUAGAACGCUCCAUCAAUCAUCCCCAUGCCCACAAGGAAACCAAGUUAACAACUAUCUACACAGGAGAGAAAACAAAAAACAAAAAAAACACCUUCAUUAGAACCAAAAAUCUGAUGAACACUCAUAGUAUCUGGUUUUAACUUUAUAUCACUGAAGAGAUAGAAAAAGCAGUCCAGAAUCCCAGAUGUCACCUCUCCCCAACAUGCAGGAGUGGCGGAAUGGUGCAAAGAGUGUCUCUGGGUACUGGGGAAGGGAAAACACAGCAAUUGUGAGGCAUUGAACUUAGUGCUGUUCUGUUAGAGCAGAAAGAAAAACCGAACCAAACAGCUGAUCCACCCACAGAGGAAGUAUUUAAACCAGCUCUAGUCAGAGAGGAAUCACCUACCCUGAGGAUCUGAACCUGAGUGCUUACAAGCCUCACCACAGAAAGCUACAGCGCUCUGUGUCUCCAAGUAAAUUUGAAAGUCGGUCUAGGCCAUGAAGGCUGCAACACUUAGGAAAGUAAUAGUGCUGAACUAGGCCCAGAGAGAGUGAACUGGGAGGGUACAAGACAUACUAAGACACAAGCAGGGACACCAAAGGUAGUGCUGCCAUUACCCCUCCCCUAACUGCAGGCUGCACAAUGUUUCUACAAAACAUCUAUACACUUGCAUAACAAGUAAAUAUACAAGGAUGUUUCUUGCUGUUACGGGAAGUCAGGGACUCCAAAUGGAGGGACCGGCUGGAGCCGCGGCAGAGGAAACAUAAAUUGUGAAGAUUUCAUGGAUGCUUAUCAUUUCCCUAAUAAUACUCUUAUAAUUUCUUAUGCCUGUCUUAAUCUCUUAAUCCUGUUAUCUUCGUAAGCUGAGGAUGUACAUCACCUCAGGUCCACUGUGAUGAUUGCGUUAACUGUACAAAUUGAUUAUAAAAUGUGUGUUUGAACAAUAUGAAAUCAGUGCACCUUGAAAAAGAACAGAAUAACAGUGAUUUUAGGGAACAAGGGAAGACAACCAUGAGGUCUGACUGCCUGUGGGGUUGGGCAAAAAGAGCCAUGUUUUUCUUGUUGCAGAGAGCCUAUAAACAGACGUGCAAGUAGGAGAGAUAUCGCUAAAUUUUUUUCCUAGCAAGGAAUAUAAUAUUAAGACCCUAGGAAAAGAAUUGCAUUCCUGGGGGUAGGUCGAUAAAUGGCCGCUCUGGAAGUGUCUGUCUUCUGUGGUUGAGAUAAGGACUGAAAUACUCCCUGGUCUCCUGCAGUACCCUCAGGCUUAUUAGGGUGGGGAAAAAACUGCUCCCCGGUAAAUUUGAGGUCAGACCGGUUCUCUGCUCUCUAACCCUGUUUUCUGUUGUUUAAGAUGUUUAUCAAGACAAUACGCGCGCAGCUGAACAUAGACCCUUAUCAGGAGUUUUUGAUUUUGCCCUUUGCCUUGUGAUCUUUGCUUUGCCCUUUGUCUUGUGAUCUUUGCUUUGCCCUUUGCCUUGUGAUCUUUAUUGGCCUCAGAAGCAUGUGGUCUUUGUUCUCUUUUUUGCCCUUUGAAGCAUGUGAUCUUUGUGACCUACUCCCUGUUCAUACUUCAUACACCCCCUCCCCUUUUGAAAUCCUUAAUAAAACUUGCUGGUUUUGCGGCUCAGGUGAGCAUCACGGACCUACCCAUAUGUGAUGUCACCCCCAGCGGCACAGCUGUAAAAUUCCUCUCUUUGUACUCUUUCUCUUUAUUUCUCAGACUGGCUGACACUUAGGGGAAAUAGAACCUAUGUUGAAAUAUUGGGGGUGGGUUCCCCUGAUACCUUGCAGCAUUGUUUAUGAUAAUAUUGGAAACAACCCAAAUAGCCAGCAACUAGUGACUAACAUGUUAUAUCCAUAGAAUGCAAGAAUAUAUAGUACCUACAACAUUUAUUGUGUCAAGAAAAUAUUUGCCUUUCGUUCCAGCUUAUUCAAUUGUGACAGUUUAUUUUAUAAUAAAUUGUCAAUAUUUUAGGCAAAAUUUUAAGAUUUGUUGACAGUGCUAUGUGAAUGUCAGAUUUGUUGACAUUGCUACAUGAAUUAUUUCAAUCAAUGAGAGGGUAAAGAAAACAGGCAGGAGUAUUUAAAACUUCUUUGAGCAUCUUUAUAAACUUCUGUUCCUAUCUUGAAAAAUUUCAGUUUGUCCAACUCAAGUAAGCCCUCCUUUUAAAAGGUCCCUAGAUGCAAAAAAAGAUAAAAGUGUUAAAUCUUUAAGAAAACUGAUUUGUUUGAAUAAGUAAAUUUAACUUGAAUUCUCAAUACUCCAAAGCUUCUACUGUUGGAAUUUUCUUUUGUGACACCAGAAAUUCUCUCAUAUAAUGCUGCCUGCUAAAGUCAGAAGAGGUUUAUUUUAAAUGUCCUUGUAGUAUUAGAAAUGUGUGCUAUUAAUCAUGAAAGUCAAGAAAAACAUCAGAAAAAAUAUGAAAGUAUUUGAGAAACUGGAAAGACUCGAAGUUUAAGUCCUGUGGUAGGUUACUGGUGUCUGAAAAUUAAAGUACCCAAUCCUUAGUAAGGUAAAUUAUUUUUUGGUACACAUAAAAGUCUAUAGUCAAAAUUCAAUUUCUUUAUGCUAAGUUAAUUUUUUGAUAGAAGAAUAUGUUGAUCAGAAGGAGCUAGUAUGAUAGAAAAAAAUCAAUGAACUUGGGAUCAGAAGACUUACAACUAAGUGUCAACUAUACCUCUUACUCUGUGACCUUGUACAAUUUAAUCUCUCUGAGCCUUAUUUUUGUCAUUUACAAAGCAAAGAUACUUCUACCUCCUAAGUUUGACAGCAUAUAGUACAGGAACUCAUGUAUUAUUGUACCUAAGUAUAAUCCAAGGAGGAAUUAAAAAACAACAUUAAAAAUAGGUCUACUGGGAAUUUCUCAGUUCAACCUCAACAGAAAGCAUUCAGUCAUUUUUCUUAGAGUUAUUUCUUAAUUAUAACUGUAGAAUUAGAUGGAAUAAAGUUUGGCUAGUGUUACUCUGGAUGUAAUGGUGCUGAGGUGGCUCUGAAAUGCUUAAAACAGUGUGUUUCUCAGAAAGCACACAACAGUUUGUGUUUUAGUUUUUCCCCAAACCUGAACAAUAUAUGGAUCACACUGAAAGAAAAAUAUUUCCAGGUGUUGACUUAUUUUUAUUUUAAUGACUAGUUAAGUACUCACAAUCAUAAAGCUAAGAAUAAACUCAUCCUCAUAGCUCUUACACACCUAUAAAAUUGAAACAUUUUUAGAAAUAAAAACAUUUAUGUAAGCAAUAAAAUUCAAAUUCACAAUAUUAAUUUCAUAUGAAAGAUGUUUUUCAACAAAUAUCUCCUCACAAUACGAGCAUGGUAAUGACUAUUGCUAUUGUGCAAAUUCUUUCAAGAAUUCAACCUACCUAUACCACCUUGUGUCUUGGGGUAACUCAAUUUAAGAGAUACUGCUUUAAAUUGUUGCUACAUUUUUGGAACCCAACUGUUGUGUUACACACUACCACAGGUGACUGGUUCCCUGGAAUCAUCCAUGAUCUUUUCUAGGAAAUUUUCUAAAUGGACAGAUGUAAUAGGGAUGCUUUCAAGAAUUCCUCACCACACUGAUAUUCCUGAAGCAUCUAUAAGCUACGGCUUCCUGUGCACAAAAGCCUGUGAUUUGGGGCCUUGCAUGCAGUAUGUUAGACAUAUCAUAUAUAAUCAGUGUUUCCUCUAAUCCAUCCUGUUAAAGCGAACUGAAUAUAUCCUGAGGAAGACUCUGUAUUUCUAUAUUUGAGUCCUUGAGGACGAACUACAACCUAACUUAAUAGGUAGACGAAAUUGAAAAGCUAACGUAGGAGUAUGCACCUGUAACAAUAGCUAAGUUUUGGCCAAUCCCAGCGGCCAUAAUUCAAAUAUUCAUACCUUGCUGAGUGUUCAAAUUGUGUUCAAAUAAGGCAAAUGCUGAGCUGUAACCAAUCCAUCCGUUCUGUACCUCACUACGGAUUUCUGUAGGUCAUUUGCCUUCUUUUCCUGUAUAAAUCUUCUUCCACCACAUGGCUGCACUGGAGUUUCUGUGAAUCUGCUGUGAUUCUGGGGGCUGCCUGAUUGGAGAAUCAUUCAUUGCUUAAACUCCUUUGAAUUUAAUUCAGCUGAAGUUUUUUCUUUUAUCAAUCCUCACGUUCUGCUGGGUAACUCCUCCUUUAGACCAUAUCUGAUUCAUGUUUAUGCCUUAAACACAAACUAGAAAAACUUACUAGCUAUUCUUUAAUAAAUCCCAUGACAUUCUGAUUUUCCAGGUUUGCUUACUCUUCUCUAUCUGAAACACUUAUCAUACCACAUCAUCUUCCAAGACUUCAUUUGAGUCUUAUGACAUGCCUUGUCAUCAUGUUCCACACCACAGAUAUUUCCUGAAAUGCUGAUUAUAUAAUAAUUAUGAAUCUAUCACACUCUUAAUACUUCUCUUCCCCUACUCCUUCACUUCAUCUCUAUCUGUCAAUAACUUGAAGAAAAACAAUACAAAUACUCAUCUUUCAACCCUGUAUUGCUCCAGUUAAUAAAGUAAUUACUCAAAUUAAGCAACUUUUCAUAUUUAUACAUAAAAAGACUUUGUUUUAGAAUGAUUUAACAUUCUUUAAAUAAAAUGAACUUUUCCUUAAGAAUUUAAACUGAGAUAAAUAUAAAGCAGGCAAGUUGCUCUAUAAGACACUUGGAAAUGUGUUGUGUUGUACUACACUGGAAAAAGAGUUGUGAUUCUCAAGCCAAAUUUGUCAAGGAUGAGGAAAGGUCUCCCUACAUAGGUACAAUAUAAAAUCUCUUUCUUCCAGUAGAGGCUGUAGAUCAGUGGUUUAUUUUAUUUUAUUUUUUUCUGUUUUCUGUUGGCCAUCACAAAAAAGAAAUAGUUUUGCUUGCUGCCUAAUGACACUGCAAUUUUAUAGAUAUGUGGGCAACCGAAGUCUACACAGUAGGAUACAAAAUUGUGAGAAUCAAGCUGAUAAAUUGUGAAGAUCAAAAGCCAGAAAAAUCAAGUGGGAUCUACAAGAGAGAUCUGAUGGGUCUCAGAUGAUGUAGUUAUGAAACAUUAUCUGUUUCUUUUUAAAAACAAAGAGUGAAUACACAGUUUGACAUUUAUACUUCAAAACAUUUUUGUUCUUUGUGUUUCCAUUUUACUAUUUUAACUCUGUUGGUUGUAAUGAGGAAGAGAAAUGUCACUGAGGGAAUAUUGUUUUCUUAACACAUUUUAGUCUAAAUGCUUCUGUUCUGAAGCUAGAUAUUUGUGAUAAAAUAUCGCCAGAAUAUUUCUUAAAGAGUCAUCCAAGCAUAGAAAUUAUGGAUGACACUAUUGUUAGCUUUGCAUUCAGAAUUUCUUUUCAGAACAGAGUCUCAGAAAUGUGGAUAUACUAAAAUUCCCUCCUAAAAGGGUAAAUACUAUUUCUUUUAUUGACUAAUUAUCUUGAUGGCAAACAAUUUGUCUAAUUGAAACAUAAAUAAAAUAGGUUUCAAGUGCCCAAAGCUGAAAAAAAAGUCUUUAAAAAACUGUAUAUGAUUAUUCAAUCAUAAUAUCUAACUUAGUGAGCAAUGAAUUUUUGGAAUUUAGGGGAUCAGUGGGCACUAUAUAUAAAAAGUAUUGCUACUGUAAAUGCUUAUUAGUACUAGCUUAAGUGAAAGCCUGUGUCUGAGGUACAGGACCCUUUAUAAAAUAGUAGAGACUUAGUUUGAGUCUCUGAUGAGAAAUAUAAAUAUUCUUGUACCAUCGAAGUCAUUUUAUGUUGUAAAUAAUAGAAGCUUGUUGGCACUGACUUAGUUGAAGGAGACUGAAUAUGAGGAUAUUGGCUGAAUCAUGAAUCUCAAGGUGCAAUAAUACAGCUAAGCUUCAAGUCCUAGAAAGAGAAAUUGAAAUGCCCACUAAACUUUCCACGUUGUCCUCCUACUCUUAUUUCUAUGCUUGGUUCAUAUAUUAUUUUAAUUCUAGCUGUAUACAGAUCAUUUCUGCUUUUUAAGACACAACAUAAAAUAUGGUCACAAGCUACCCCCAAAUAUACAGGUGACUGGUCCAUCUACCUAAAAUGAGACUACAAUUUAGACUGAAUUCCAAAUUCACAAAAAUCUGUUUAGCUACCUACUUAUUCUUGGCCAGGGGGACAGCUCAUGUUGUGUGGAUCUACUUGUAGCUCACCCCUUGGAAAGACAAUGAGAAAAGGCUUCAAACAGAGGGAAGUUGUUGAGAGUUGUAAAGAAAUGUAAUAGUUGCUGAAGAUAAUAUGCCACUUUGGUGAAAAUUCUGGUUGCUGAGAGAGGUGGAAUGAGUACUGUGCUAUGGCAUAUAACAGCUUCACCAUCCCGGAGGAAGCAACUAAGCAUGCCAUUGUACAAAUCCAUAAAACUGUGUGCAGUGUUGGGAAUUACCAUUCAUUGAACUCCUUAUAGCUUCAUUGUACUCUUACAGCAGUGCUAUGAAGUCAGUAUUAGUAAGUUUAUAAGUAAAGAAAAUAAAGUUCAAAAUUUUGAGUUCUUUACCACUGCUAGUAAGUAAAAAUAAAAAAAGAAUGUACCCCUUUGUGUCUGAUGCCAAUACCUGUUCUUUAUACUCUGCUGCUUAGCAGAUAUCAAGGUCAGAUAGGGUUCAGUGAAGUGCUGGUACGGAAGGUCGAUCCAGAAAGUCACAGUGGUGGGAGAGUCCGUAAAAAAUGGUUGAGAAAGAGGAAGGAACCGAAUUUUUUUUCUGUGUUUCCAGAUCUGUAUAUUCUUGUAUACCAUUUAGCUAAUGCUUAUGAAUAGAGAAAAUGGAAUCCAGACUCAUGGACUAGACAGAAUGUCAAUCAUAAUCACAAUGCUAAUUAAAGGCAGAAUCUGCCAUUUGGUAAGCAUCAUUACUGGCCAUUAUAUAUGUCAAGUACCUGUUAUAAAUCAAGCCAGGGACUUCUCCUAGAGUGAGAUUGUAGAAUAAGGUAGGAUACCUACAGAGUCUUGAUUACUUAGUUUGAUUUACAAGGAUCUACACAGACCAGUUCCAACAAUAUUUCUCACUGCAUCUAUCCAUAUUCUUCAAAUAAACCAUACUUGUAUUUCAACCACAACAGAUAUCUCACCAUUUUCUGAAGGUAUCAUGUCCUUUUAAUGGUUUAAACACAACCACGUCUUUAAGUAUCCCUCCCCACAUCCACACUCAGAGCACCGUCCUAUCCAUUUCUGCUUUGAAAGCGUUUACUAUCCUUUAAGAUUCACGCCACUUCCUCUGUCAGGAGUUAUCUGAAAUUGCUUUCCCACCAUUAGAGGUGAGUGUGACUCACAAUACAAUGUAAUAAUGUGUCCCUCUAAACUGUGAGCUCCUUGAGGAAAGGAAGAAAGCAUUUACUUUUUCUCUAUCCACUGGCAAGAUCCAAAUAUUUAUAAAUUACCUAGCCAACACCAUCAGAAACUUCUCUCUCACUCCUUAGUGUCCCGUCUAUGAAUUAAGCUAUUUCAAUGUGGUCAUUUUGAAAGCCAGCAUGACCUACAACAGUUCUUCAUAAUUUCAGUGUUUGAUCUACACCCAAUCACAUGUAGUUUGCCUUUCUCUGAAAAACUUAUAUCUGACUUAUAUCUGAAAAUACGGUUAGUUUGAGUCAUAGUAUUCAUGGGACUGAAAAACAUUUUUCUUAGUAUUACUGACCAGUUACUGUUAUUUGUUUCAUGUCUGUGUUAACUCCUACUUUUAUUGUAUUAAGUAUUUUGCUUACAACUAGAUCAACCAAUGAUUCUGGAUUUAAGGUACUUGUGUCUGUUUCCUGUAACACAUUGUUUUCCAAUUUAUCCAAUGGAGACUCAGUUCACUUGAAAAUAGAUGCAAGAAAGACUGGAAUCACAAUUUCAAUGGAAAUUAACAAUUUUUGUUUUCUGACAUCUCCAAAACACUGUAGCAGCUUCUUCCGAAGGUGACAGUAUCGCUGCCUUGGUAGAUCUUGCAGCAUACAUAUUGUUGAUCUUAUCUUCACCAAGCACUUUUAACUGUGGUACGUUGGGCUUUUCUGAAUCAAAUGGAACUUGUUCUAAUAGCAUGAGGGCGGCAUUCAAAACAAUAUUAGAAAAUCGAUAUACAUAAACAUAUAUUAAUUUUAUUUAAAGAAAGAACAAAAUAAACAUCAUUUAUGUUUAAUAUAUUCGUUGACACUGGUCUGAAUUGACAUGCAAAUAUCUUCAUUUCAUCUAUUUAUAAUGGUCAAAGUAUCCUUGAUACCAUAAAUGUCUUGGCAUAAAAAUAUUAAAGGAAAUAGCCCACAAAUUGUAGUAAUAGUAAUAAUGAAGCACAAAUAAGAACAAAAUGUCAGAACUGACACUUCUCCUCCCUAUCAGAACCAUCUUUAGAUUUAUCUGAGUCUGCAAAGAAAUGGGGACCUGUUAAUAUUUUAAUAAUUAGUAAAAAGUGAAGGCUUUUUGACAGAAUUAUGCUAUUGAGAGAAUAUUCCAAAGGUGGAUGUUUGAAAUGUUUUCAUCACCAUAUGCUUAUCUUUUUGCCAAAACAAUGUAAAUGUGUUGCUUAUAAAACUUCUGUUAUUUGUGCACAUUAAAAACAAAUUUUUCUAGACAUUUUUCAUAUUCCAAGCAAAUGGUUUUAAUGGUUUUAAAAUAUAUUUGAUAAACAUAAAAAUAUGACUUCUAAUUAGUAUUAUUUCCAUUUGAGAAUAUAAUCAGCUAUUUGUUGAUUGUCAAUAACAAUACAAUUGACAUAAUUGGUAUUUGGGAUUGAAAAAUGUAUACCAUGAUAUGCUUCCUCUAUAUGGAUUCAUGUAUCUCUAUGAGAUUUUCUUCAGAUAUAUCAGCAUUAAAACAAACCUUUAACAUCCUAUUCAAUAAAUGGUACUGAAAAAAUUAGCCAUAUGCAAAAGAAUGAAACUGGAUCCCUGCCUCUCACCAUAUACAAAAAUGAACUCAAGACGGAUUAGAGACUUAGAUUUUUGAGGAACCUCCAAACUCUUCUCUGUAGACCUCAAACUAUAAAGAUCCUAGAAGAAAACCCAGGAAAAACUUUUCUGGACAUUGGCCUAGGUAAAGAAUUUAUGACUAAGACCUCAAAAGCAAACUCAGUAAAAACAAAAACAGACAAGCGGGACUUCGUUAAAUUACAAAGCUUUUGCACAGCAAAAGAAAUAACAGAGUAAACAGACAACCUACAGAAUGGAAGGAAAUAUUUACCAGCUAUGCAUCUCACAAAGGACUAAUAUCCAGAAUCUACAAACGGCUCAAAGAACUCAACAAGAAAAGAAGAAAUAACCCCAUUAAAAGGUAGACGAAGGACAUGAACAGACAUUUCUCAAAAGGAGACAUACAGGCAGCCAACAAACAUAUGAAAACAUGUUCAAUAUCACUAAUCUUUCUCAAAAGGAGACAUACAGGCAGCCAACAAACAUAUGAAAACAUGUUCAAUAUCACUAAUCAUCAGCAAAAUGCAAAUUAAAACCACAAUGAGAUAUCAUCUCACCCCAGUCAGAAUGCCUAUUAUUAAAAAGACAAGAAACAACGGAUGUUGGCGAGGAUGUGGAGAAAAGGGAAUGCUUAUGCACUGUUGGCAGGAAUGUAAAUUAGUAUAACCUCUAUGGCAAACAGCAUGGAGAUUUCUCAAAUAACUAAAAAUAGAACCACCAUUUAACACAGCAAUCCCAUUACUGGCUAUCUACUCAAAAGAAAAAAAAAACGCACGUGCACUCGUAUGUUUAUCAUAACAGUGUUCACAAUAGCAAAGUCAUGAAAUCAACAUAGAUGCCCAUCAGUGGUAGACUGGAUAAAGAAAAUGUGAUGUGUAUGCACUAUGGAAUACUAUGCAGCCAUUAAAAUGAAUGAAGUAAUGUUUUUUGCAGCAACAUGAACAAAGUUGAAUGCCAUUAUGCUAAGUAAAAUAACUCAGAAACAGAAAAUCAAACACCACGUGUUGUUCACUUAUAAGUUAGAGGUAAACAUUGGGUGCACAUGGACAUACAGAAGGGGACAAUAGACACUGAGGACUACAAAAGGGCAGAGGUUAGUUUUGAAAAAUUACCUAUCUGGUACAAUGUUCACUUUUCGGGUGAUGGCUACUGUAGGAGCCCACACAUCACCACCCAAGCAAUAUAUCCACGUAUCAAACUUGCAUAUUACCCCCUCAGUCUAUAAAAAUAAUGAAUGAAUGAAUACAAAUCUUUAGAUUUGAGCUUUAUACUAAUCUUUUGAAUUGCUGUAUUAUAGAUAAUUAAACAAUGAUUCAAAAAGUAAUAAUGAAGUCUAUUUAUUUUCUCAAUAAUUUGUCUCAUUAAGAAAAUACAAUUUCGAUCUACUAAUGAUUUUUAAAGUGGUUUAUUUCCUCUUUAGCUCACAAAGUAUAUUUUUCCAUGUUUAAUAAGACUGCAACUUAUUUGCUGUUAAUGUAUGCACUUUAUCCGUAACUAUACACACGUUGGUAUUGUGAGUGUAUGCAAAAUUGUUUUAAUUUUUAAGUGUAUGUGAGCAAAAGAAAAGAAUAAACAUGGAUACAACUGAUAUAAA
Pan troglodytes (chimpanzee) is the source of this 12986-nucleotide long non-coding RNA. RefSeq lists it as uncharacterized. The transcript has 6 exons. The record is from RefSeq and is a predicted model, not a curated record. NCBI's taxonomy places the organism in Eukaryota, Metazoa, Chordata, Mammalia, Primates, Hominidae.